ACAUGUACGAACUUCUCGAACAUAAGGAGCUGAGUGUUACUGUAAUCAGCUUGUACAUAAGGUUUUUGUACGAGAAGGUCGUGUGCACGAGGAAAUUGUCAAAUAAAUACUCAUUCUUGUCUCCACAUAAGAUGCCGAUGUGGAAACUCGAUCCAUACAAUGUAAAAAAAUACAUUGUAGAUAUGUUUUUAGGAAAUAUAGAAAGUGUUAAAUUGUUCUUGGCACCAUAUAAUUCAGGGGCACAUUGGGUGCUAUUUGCAAUCAAUGCGGUCUCUGAAGUUAUAUAUUAUUUGGAUCUCGUGCACGGCAAUUACAGCAAUCACCCCGAAAUAAAGACUAUGCUCGACA
Cicer arietinum (chickpea) is the source of this 348-nucleotide non-coding RNA. The record is from RefSeq and is a predicted model, not a curated record. Lineage: Eukaryota; Viridiplantae; Streptophyta; Magnoliopsida; Fabales; Fabaceae.